RNAcentral lists this ribosomal RNA (443 nucleotides) under uncultured bacterium. RNAcentral describes it as "partial 16S ribosomal RNA". It matches the Rfam family "Bacterial small subunit ribosomal RNA", at positions 338 to 795 of the family's 1533-position model. The record is from RNAcentral.
CCUACGGGAGGCUGCAGUGGGGAAUAUUGGGCAAUGGGCGCAAGCCUGACCCAGCAACGCCGCGUGAAGGAAGAAGGCUUUCGGGUUGUAAACUUCUUUUAUCAGGGACGAAGCAAGUGACGGUACCUGAAGAAUAAGCCACGGCUAACUACGUGCCAGCCGCAGCGGUAAUAAGUAGGUGGCAAGCGUUAUCCGGAUUUACGGGGUGGAAAGGGCGUGUAGGCGGGAGUGCAAGUCAGAUGUGAAAGCUAUGGGCUCAACCCAUAGCCUGCAUUUGAAACUGUACUUCUUGAGUGCUGGAGAGGCAAGCGGAAUUCCGUGUGUAGCGGUGAAAUGCGUAGAUAUAAGGAGGAACACCAGUGGCGAAGGCGGAUUGCUGGACAGUAACUGACGCUGAGGCGCGAAAGCGUGGGGAGCAAACAGGAUUAGAUACCCUAGUAGUC